AGCAAUAUUGAUAUCAAUCACAUAGCAUUAGACAAGCUAGAAAAGUUAUUGGUAAUACGUUUGACUGCCGGCUUGGGCUCGAGCUUUGUUGUGGUGAUAGACGGGAUAACAGUUGAUGGUGAACCGUGUGUUGGAUGAUCUUAAGGAAACAGUGUAACCAGUAAGCACUGAUUUUGAAUUCAGACUCCACUGUGAAUGGCUGCUCAUAGUUAGAAUUCUGACUCGAUGCAACCAUUUGUUGCCGU
Long non-coding RNA from Corticium candelabrum, 245 nucleotides. RefSeq lists it as uncharacterized. NCBI's taxonomy places the organism in Eukaryota, Metazoa, Porifera, Homoscleromorpha, Homosclerophorida, Plakinidae. The record is from RefSeq and is a predicted model, not a curated record. The transcript is spliced from 3 exons.